GCCCAAGAACUCCCGGACCCCACUCUGUUCCUGGGGAUUCGCCCUUCCACCAGAGCACCGCCAGUCUGUUGAUCAGGUAUCCUUUGAAGCCACAAAAUAAAUCAAACCUGGGCCCUGAGUCACCAUAGAGGAAAGCCACCCUGGGAGUCACCAGACGAAGAACUCCUACAUCGGACUUGGCUUCUGAGAUUUGCUCCAAAGUCCUGAUGAAGACUUUGGCCUGUGAUGAAGUCCUGUGGCCUGUGAGUUUGGAUCAGCGGUUUUCCCAAGAGCACCAUUGUGUCUGGCCCCCAGCAUUUGCAAUCUCUUAUCCCCAUUCCUGUGGGGGCUGUGGGGCUGAAGCCAGCUCCUGACCUAGCACUCACGGCUGCUCUCCUCUCCUGAACACAACCUGACUGAGAUGUGCCGCUACCUGAAUGAAUGUAAAGCUGCCUGCACUGACAAUUUUUGACCCGAGUGAGAACCACUGAAGAGUGAAGGUCAGUGCAGCUGAACGCUUUACCUUGUGGUGUGUGCACAUGCGCAGAACACCUGUGAGCUCUCCCUUGGUGGCUGGUCUGAACAGCGGGCCCUUAAGCCUUCUGUAGCUGACACACGCGGUUAGAAAGGGCUGAUGGAGUGGCGGCAACAUCUGUUCCACGUUCCGUUGCUGCCUUGCAAUUACUGAAAGUAACUUAGGAGCAUCUCUGUCUUGCAACU
Molecule: long non-coding RNA, 699 nt
Organism: Felis catus (domestic cat)
Lineage: Eukaryota; Metazoa; Chordata; Mammalia; Carnivora; Felidae
Exons: 5
Source: RefSeq, a predicted model, not a curated record